Molecule: transfer RNA, 69 nt
Filed under: Rattus norvegicus (Norway rat)
Lineage: Eukaryota; Metazoa; Chordata; Mammalia; Rodentia; Muridae
Rfam family: tRNA
About the family: Transfer RNA (tRNA) molecules are approximately 80 nucleotides in length. Their secondary structure includes four short double-helical elements and three loops (D, anti-codon, and T loops).
Source: Rfam by way of RNAcentral
GGGGAUUUAGCUCAGUGGAAGAGCAUUUGCCUAGCAAGCGCAAGGCCCUGGGUUCGGUCCCCAGCUCCA